UUCCCAAAGUAUUUUCCAUUUCUUUAAUUGUUUUGAAAUGACCUCAAAUUUGUUCUAAAAACAAUCUGUUUUUUGAACAAAUUCUGGAAACUUUUUUUUUUUGUCAAAAGUAUGGAAAAUGUAUUUUCUCAGUUAGAAAACUAUUUUUUAUUCCAAAGAACAUAAAACUGUUUUCAAGAAUAGUUUUCAAACAAACCCUUAACUUAUCUUUUUGUUCUUUAUGAACCAUAUCUUCUAUAUGAACUCUGUAACAAUCAUACUAUGGGUACUGAGGCCCUAGACACCUAAAAGUUACUAUAAGACUAAUUUUUAACCAAUCAAGAUUAGUUAUUAUUACCACCAUUUGUUUUCCUGUUUGUAUUUUAAUUGGUACAUAGUUUUUGAAGGUGCACAUGGGCCCAGGGCACAGACACAUCCGGUUGUGACACUCCACCUGACAUGGUUACCACCUUGGUGGAGAGGUGUCUGUUCCAAUUUCUGUGCCCUUUUCCAAAAUUGAAACGGAAAACAACAUCAUUUUGCCCUCUGUUCUUUGUUUUUCUAUUUUUUGGAAAGUUGAAGGCAAAGUUAUGCCCAUGACAUUGUGUUGGAAGAUGUUGACACCAAAAAGAAAUGCUUAUAUUUGUCUCUGAUUUCUUAGCACUGAAAAAAGAAUAUAUAUAUAUAUAUAUAUAAGUUUCAUCUUGGCAAUUGCUGACUGUAUUAAAAUUUUGUAUUGUUGCAUUAUAUUUUGUUGGAUUCUUCUUUUAAAUGCUUGCAAUGUUGAUCUUUUUGUUGCUUGGAUUAGAAUUUGGGAUCAUAUUUGGUGAUAUACAUGUGUAUGACAAAUGUUUGUAUGUCCAAAUUUAUAAUAUUUUAUAAAAUUGAUGUACUCCAAGUUGCUCCUCACUUUGUCCAGAGUGUGCAUGCCUUGGGUUGUGCCUUGUCUCAAAGCUUUAGAAGACCUUUUGUGCCUGAGGUUUUGAGGACAAUGUAUUGGUAUUAGAUUUGGCACAUCUGCUGUGUAUGGACAUUUUUCUAUCAUAGAAAUAUUAUAAGCAGAAAUAUUUAUGUUUUUGAACACCAAAAACAAUCAAAAUUAGAUCUUGUAUUUUGCUUUGUUUUUGUUUUGCAAGGAAUUCUGGUUUUUGCUAAUUUUUCUCUAUCAAGCGGUUGAACUGUUAUGAUGCCUGCUGUGUCUUGAGAGAAAAUCAAGAAGGAAAACUGACUUGAUUUCUAUGUAGUUUGAAUGCUUGGAAAAAGAUGUGAGCGGUGCAUUUCCCAUGUAAAACUCAUGAGCCUGACAAUUUCUUCAAGAAGAAGAGCAAAGAAUGAAAUUUUAACAACAUGAAAAACAGACUUGAUCUCCUUAAAAAAGCAAUAACUGUUGAUUUUUGUAAUGGGCAUACCAUAACUCUAAUUUAAUAAGAGAUUAGACAUGUAUAAACUGCUGAUAAACUCUGUUUCAAUUUUGGAGGUUUUGGCUGGAUUUUCUUUAUUUUAUGCAGAGCAUUUUAGUCCAAAGAAUGUGUUACUACUACUAUGACUUAAUAAGAGCAAAGCUAGAUUGUAUAACUUACAAAUAUGGAGUAGGGCUAUAUUGUCUGAUUUUAAUAUAUUCAGGGAGGGAAAUUAAUAAAUCCAGCUAAAUGACAUGAAGCAGCUGUGAAUCUGUGAUUAUAAACCAUGAGGAUGGUGUGAAAAAGAAAAUUGAAACU
This 1697-nucleotide long non-coding RNA is filed under the name Vitis vinifera (wine grape). RNAcentral describes it as "long non-coding RNA (VVIN_LNC001393)". Lineage: Eukaryota; Viridiplantae; Streptophyta; Magnoliopsida; Vitales; Vitaceae. The record is from RNAcentral.